GAGUAGCUCAGUUAGUUCAGAGCAUUCCGAUUUUUCAUCGGAAGUAGUCGGGGGUUCGAACCCCUCAUCGCCCA
Molecule: transfer RNA, 74 nt
Filed under: Flavobacterium sp. LHD-80
Lineage: Bacteria; Pseudomonadati; Bacteroidota; Flavobacteriia; Flavobacteriales; Flavobacteriaceae
Description: tRNA-Lys
Rfam family: tRNA
About the family: Transfer RNA (tRNA) molecules are approximately 80 nucleotides in length. Their secondary structure includes four short double-helical elements and three loops (D, anti-codon, and T loops).
Source: RNAcentral